This 497-nucleotide ribosomal RNA is filed under the name uncultured bacterium. RNAcentral's name for it is "partial 16S ribosomal RNA". It matches the Rfam family "Bacterial small subunit ribosomal RNA", at positions 28 to 507 of the family's 1533-position model. The record is from RNAcentral.
GAUGAACGCUGGCGGCGUGCCUAAUACAUGCAAGUCGAGCGAACGGACGAGAAGCUUGCUUCUCUGAUGUUAGCGGCGGACGGGUGAGUAACACGUGGAUAACCUACCUAUAAGACUGGGAUAACUUCGGGAAACCGGAGCUAAUACCGGAUAAUAUUUUGAACCGCAUGGUUCAAAAGUGAAAGACGGUCUUGCUGUCACUUAUAGAUGGAUCCGCGCUGCAUUAGCUAGUUGGUAAGGUAACGGCUUACCAAGGCAACGAUGCAUAGCCGACCUGAGAGGGUGAUCGGCCACACUGGAACUGAGACACGGUCCAGACUCCUACGGGAGGCAGCAGAAGGGAAUCUUCCGCAAUGGGCGAAAGCCUGACGGAGCAACGCCGCGUGAGUGAUGAAGGUCUUCGGAUCGUAAAACUCUGUUAUUGGGGAAGAACAUAUGUGUAAGUAACUGUGCACAUCUUGACGGUACCUAAUCAGAAAGCCACGGCUAACUACGUG